This 1404-nucleotide ribosomal RNA is filed under the name uncultured bacterium. RNAcentral describes it as "bacterial SSU rRNA". It matches the Rfam family "Bacterial small subunit ribosomal RNA". The record is from RNAcentral.
UUGAUCAUGGCUCAGGACGAACGCUGGCGGCGUGCCUAAUACAUGCAAGUAGAACGCUGAAGAGAGGAGCUUGCUCUUCUUGGAUGAGUUGCGAACGGGUGAGUAACGCGUAGGUAACCUGCCUUGUAGCGGGGGAUAACUAUUGGAAACGAUAGCUAAUACCGCAUAACAAUAGGUGACACAUGUCAUUUAUUUGAAAGGGGCAAUUGCUCCACUACAAGAUGGACCUGCGUUGUAUUAGCUAGUAGGUGAGGUAACGGCUCACCUAGGCGACGAUACAUAGCCGACCUGAGAGGGUGAUCGGCCAUACUGGGACUGAGACACGGCCCAGACUCCUACGGGAGGCAGCAGUAGGGAAUCUUCGGCAAUGGGGGCAACCCUGACCGAGCAACGCCGCGUGAGUGAAGAAGGUUUUCGGAUCGUAAAGCUCUGUUGUAAGUCAAGAACGAGUGUGAGAGUGGAAAGUUCACACUGUGACGGUAGCUUACCAGAAAGGGACGGCUAACUACGUGCCAGCAGCCGCGGUAAUACGUAGGUCCCGAGCGUUGUCCGGAUUUAUUGGGCGUAAAGCGAGCGCAGGCGGUUUGAUAAGUCUGAAGUUAAAGGCUGUGGCUCAACCAUAGUUCGCUUUGGAAACUGUCAAACUUGAGUGCAGAAGGGGGGAGUGGAAUUCCAUGUGUAGCGGUGAAAUGCGUAGAUAUAUGGAGGAACACCGGUGGCGAAAGCGGCUCUCUGGUCUGUAACUGACGCUGAGGCUCGAAAGCGUGGGGAGCGAACAGGAUUAGAUACCCUGGUAGUCCACGCCGUAAACGAUGAGUGCUAGGUGUUGGAUCCUUUCCGGGAUUCAGUGCCGCAGCUAACGCACUAAGCACUCCGCCUGGGGAGUACGACCGCAAGGUUGAAACUCAAAGGAAUUGACGGGGGCCCGCACAAGCGGUGGAGCAUGUGGUUUAAUUCGAAGCAACGCGAAGAACCUUACCAGGUCUUGACAUCCCGAUGCUAUUUCUAGAGAUAGAAAGUUACUUCGGUACAUCGGUGACAGGUGGUGCAUGGUUGUCGUCAGCUCGUGUCGUGAGAUGUUGGGUUAAGUCCCGCAACGAGCGCAACCCCUAUUGUUAGUUGCCAUCAUUCAGUUGGGCACUCUAGCGAGACUGCCGGUAAUAAACCGGAGGAAGGUGGGGAUGACGUCAAAUCAUCAUGCCCCUUAUGACCUGGGCUACACACGUGCUACAAUGGUUGGUACAACGAGUUGCGAGUCGGUGACGGCAAGCUAAUCUCUUAAAGCCAAUCUCAGUUCGGAUUGUAGGCUGCAACUCGCCUACAUGAAGUCGGAAUCGCUAGUAAUCGCGGAUCAGCACGCCGCGGUGAAAUACGUUCCCGGGCCUUGCACACACCGCCCGUCAA